AGCGUGGGGGGCAUGCCUUUACACAUGCAGUCGAACGGCAGCACGGGUGCUUGCACCUGGUGGCGAGUGGCGAACGGGUGAGUAAUACAUCGGAACAUGUCCUGUAGUGGGGGAUAGCCCGGCGAAAGCCGGAUUAAUACCGCAUACGAUCUUUGGAUGAAAGCGGGGGACCUUCGGGCCUCGCGCUAUAGGGUUGGCCGAUGGCUGAUUAGCUAGUUGGUGGGGUAAAGGCCUCCCAAGGCGACGAUCAGUAGCUUGUUUGAGAGGACGACCAGCCACCCUGGGACUGAGACCCGGCCCAGACUUCUUCGGGAGGCAGCAGUGGGGAAUUUUGGACAAUGGGCGAAAGCCUGAUCCAGCAAUGCCGCGUGUGUGAAGAAGGCCUUCGGGUUGUAAAGCACUUUUGUCCGGAAAGAAAUCCUUGGCUCUAAUACAGUCGGGGGAUGACGGUACCGGAAGAAUAAGCACCGGCUAACUACGUGCCAGCAGCCGCGGUAAUACGUAGGGUGCAAGCGUUAAUCGGAAUUACUGGGCGUAAAGCGUGCGCAGGCGGUUUGCUAAGACCGAUGUGAAAUCCCCGGGCUCAACCUGGGAACUGCAUUGGUGACUGGCAGGCUAGAGUAUGGCAGAGGGGGGUAGAAUUCCACGUGUAGCAGUGAAAUGCGUAGAGAUGUGGAGGAAUACCGAUGGCGAAGGCAGCCCCCUGGGCCAAUACUGACGCUCAUGCACGAAAGCGUGGGGAGCAAACAGGAUUAGAUACCCUGGUAGUCCACGCCCUAAACGAUGUCAACUAGUUGUUGGGGAUUCAUUUCCUUAGUAACGUAGCUAACGCGUGAAGUUGACCGCCUGGGGAGUACGGUCGCAAGAUUAAAACUCAAAGGAAUUGACGGGGACCCGCACAAGCGGUGGAUGAUGUGGAUUAAUUCGAUGCAACGCGAAAAACCUUACCUACCCUUGACAUGGUCGGAAUCCUGCUGAAGAGGCGGGAGUGCUCGAAAGAGAACCGGCGCACAGGUGCUGCAUGGCUGUCGUCAGCUCGUGUCGUGAGAUGUUGGGUUAAGUCCCGCAACGAGCGCAACCCUUGUCCUUAGUUGCUACGCAAGAGCACUCUAAGGAGACUGCCGGUGACAAACCGGAGGAAGGUGGGGAUGACGUCAAGUCCUCAUGGCCCUUAUGGGUAGGGCUUCACACGUCAUACAAUGGUCGGAACAGAGGGUUGCCAACCCGCGAGGGGGAGCUAAUCCCAGAAAACCGAUCGUAGUCCGGAUUGCACUCUGCAACUCGAGUGCAUGAAGCUGGAAUCGCUAGUAAUCGCGGAUCAGCAUGCCGCGGUGAAUACGUUCCCGGGUCUUGUACACACCGCCCGUCACACCAUGGGUAGUGGGUUUUACCAGAAGUGGCUAAGUCUAACCGCAAAGGAGGACGGUCACCACGGUAAGGAUCUGUGG
Molecule: ribosomal RNA, 1448 nt
Filed under: Burkholderia cepacia
Lineage: Bacteria; Pseudomonadati; Pseudomonadota; Betaproteobacteria; Burkholderiales; Burkholderiaceae
Description: bacterial SSU rRNA
Rfam family: Bacterial small subunit ribosomal RNA
Source: RNAcentral